Molecule: small RNA, 272 nt
Filed under: Castor canadensis (American beaver)
Lineage: Eukaryota; Metazoa; Chordata; Mammalia; Rodentia; Castoridae
Description: 7SK RNA (ENSCCNG00000013768.1)
Rfam family: 7SK RNA
About the family: 7SK was discovered as an abundant small nuclear RNA in the mid-70s but a possible function has only recently been suggested.
Source: RNAcentral
GGAUGUGAGGGCGAUCUGGCUGCGACAUCUGUCAUCCCAUUGAUCGCCAGGGUUGAUUCGGCUGAUCUGUCUGGCUAGGCGGGUGUCCCCUUCCUCCCUCACCGCUCCACGUGCGUCCCUCCCGAAGCUGCGCGCUUGGUGGAAGAGGACGACCAUCCCCGAUAGAGGAGGACCGUUCUUCGGUCAAGGGUAUACGAGUAGCUGCGCUCCCCUGCUAGAACCUCCAAACAAGCUCUCAUUUUUACAUUUACUUACGUGUGUAUACAUUAUUU